RNAcentral lists this ribosomal RNA (1371 nucleotides) under uncultured organism. RNAcentral's name for it is "bacterial SSU rRNA". It matches the Rfam family "Bacterial small subunit ribosomal RNA". The record is from RNAcentral.
CAGGAUGAACGCUGGCGGUAUGCUUAACACAUGCAAGUCGAACGGAUUCUUAGGAAUCAGUGGCGGACGGGUGAGUAACACGUGAAAACCUGCCUCUAGGACGGGGAUAACAGAGGGAAACUUCUGCUAAUUCCCGAUGAGCCUGCGGGUAAAAGGAUUUAUCGCCUAGAGAGGGGUUCGCGUCCGAUUAGCUAGUUGGUGGGGUAAAGGCUCACCAAGGCUGCGAUCGGUAGCUGUUCUGAGAGGAAGAACAGCCACACUGGGACUGAGACACGGCCCAGACUCCUACGGGAGGCAGCAGUGGGGAAUUUUCCGCAAUGGGCGAAAGCCUGACGGAGCAAUACCGCGUGAGGGAAGAAGGUCCUUGGAUCGUAAACCUCUUUUCUCAGGGAAGAAGUUCUGACGGUACCUGAGGAAUAAGCCUCGGCUAAUUCCGUGCCAGCAGCCGCGGUAAUACGGAAGCCCCAAGCGUUGUUCGGAAUCACUGGGCUUAAAGAGCGUGUAGGCGGGAUGGUAAGUACUUUGUGAAAGCCCCGGCUUCAAUCCGGGAAUUGCUUGGUAUACUGCUAUCCUUGAGGCAGGUAGGGGUGACUGGAACCUUAGGUGGAGCGGUGAAAUGCGUAGAUAUCUAAGGGAACACCUGUGGCGAAAGCGGGUCACUAGGCCUGUCCUGACGCUGAGACGCGAAAGCGUAGGGAGCGAACGGGAUUAGAUACCCCGGUAGUCUACGCCGUAAACGAUGCGCACUAGGUUCGAGAACCUCUGACGGUUUUCGUGCCGAAACAAAAGCGAUAAGUGCGCCGCCUGGGGAGUACGGCCGCAAGGCUAAAACUCAAAGGAAUUGACGGGGGCUCACACAAGCGGUGGAGCAUGUGGAUUAAUUCGAAGCAACGCGAAGAACCUUACCUGGGUUUGACAUGCAUGGAUGCCCUCUUGGAAACAGGAGUAAGCUGCCUUCGGGUGAAACAUGCACAGGUGCUGCAUGGCUGUCGUCAGCUCGUGCUGUGAAGUGUCGGGUUAAGUCCCUUAACGAGCGAAACCCCUGUCGCUAGUUGCCAGCGGUUCGGCCGGGAACUCUAGCGAGACUGCCGGCGUUAAGCCGGAGGAAGGUGGGGACGACGUCAAGUCAUCAUGGCCUUUAUGCCCAGGGUGUCACACGUGCUACAAUGGGGCGUACAGAGCGACGCAAGACCGUGAGGUGGAGCAAAUCGCACAAAGCGCUCCUCAGUUCGGAUUGGGGUCUGCAAUUCGACCCCAUGAAGUCGGAAUCGCUAGUAAUCGCGCAUCAGCCAUGGCGCGGUGAAUGAGUUCCUGAGCCUUGUACACACCGCCCGUCAAGUCAUGGAAGCUGGGAGUUCCCGAAGUCGCCAC